Molecule: ribosomal RNA, 500 nt
Filed under: uncultured bacterium
Lineage: Bacteria
Description: bacterial SSU rRNA
Rfam family: Bacterial small subunit ribosomal RNA
Source: RNAcentral
GACGAACGCUGGCGGCGUGCCUAACACAUGCAAGUCGAGCGGAGUCAGUAAGAGGAAGUUUUCGGAUGGAAUCUUAUUGAUUUAGCGGCGGACGGGUGAGUAACGCGUGAGCGACCAACCUUGCACAGGGGGAUAACGGACCGAAAGGUUCACUAAUACCGCAUGAGACCACGGUGUUGCAUGACACAGGGGUCAAAGGAGCAAUCCGGUGCAAGACGGGCUCGCGUCCGAUUAGGUAGUUGGAGGGGUAACGGCCCACCAAGCCUAUGAUCGGUAGCCGACCUGAGAGGGUGAUCGGCCACAUUGGAACUGAGAUACGGUCCAAACUCCUACGGGAGGCAGCAGUGGGGAAUAUUGGGCAAUGGGGGAAACCCUGACCCAGCAACGCCGCGUGAAGGAAGAAGGUUUUCGGAUUGUAAACUUCUGUCCUUGGUGAAGAGAAGAAGACGGUAGCCAAGGAGGAAGCCCCCGGCUAACUACGUGCCAGCAGCCGCGGUAAU